GAUGAACGCUAGCGGCAGGCUUAAUACAUGCAAGUCAAGGGGUAGCAAUACAACCGGCGCACGGGUGAGUAACGCGUACACAACAUACCAUAUACUGGAGUAUAGCUUUGGGAAACUGAAGGUAAUCCUCCAUAACAUUGCGAGAGGGCAUCUGAUUGCAAUUAAAGUUUCGGCGGUAUAUGAUUGGUGUGCGUUUGAUUAGCUAGUUGGUAGGGUAACGGCCUACCAAGGCGACGAUCAAUAGCUGGCGUGAGAGCGCGACCAGCCACACUGGAACUGAGACACGGUCCAGACUCCUACGGGAGGCAGCAGUAGGGAAUAUUGGACAAUGGAGGAAACUCUGAUCCAGCCAUGCCGCGUGAUAGAUGAAGGCCCUCUGGGUUGUAAAUAUCUUUUAUCUGGGAAGAAAUACUCCUAUUCUUAGGAACUUGACGGUACCAGAGGAAUAAGCACCGGCUAACUCCGUGCCAGCAGCCGUCGGUAAU
This 485-nucleotide ribosomal RNA is filed under the name uncultured bacterium. Its description in RNAcentral is "bacterial SSU rRNA". It matches the Rfam family "Bacterial small subunit ribosomal RNA", at positions 28 to 524 of the family's 1533-position model. The record is from RNAcentral.